Pelobates cultripes (western spadefoot toad) is the source of this 205-nucleotide non-coding RNA. The record is from the annotation of a GenBank genome assembly. NCBI's taxonomy places the organism in Eukaryota, Metazoa, Chordata, Amphibia, Anura, Pelobatidae.
CAAACGUUGGGGAGGCCUCGUCCUCUGGCACAGGCCAUUGCUCAGGAACCACCGUGGGCGCACUAAACGGCCCAAGGGAUGCCAUCCACUGCUGCAGCCAAAUGAUGCCGCGCUACCUCACUGCCACACAAACACCCGCAAGGAAUUCUUCAACAGAAUCCAUCUGAAAAAGAAAGAAAAAACCUACCCAAACUUGAGAGACAAC